This 1327-nucleotide ribosomal RNA is filed under the name Catharanthus phyllody phytoplasma. RNAcentral's name for it is "bacterial SSU rRNA". It matches the Rfam family "Bacterial small subunit ribosomal RNA", at positions 113 to 1438 of the family's 1533-position model. Lineage: Bacteria; Bacillati; Mycoplasmatota; Mollicutes; Acholeplasmatales; Acholeplasmataceae. The record is from RNAcentral.
ACACGUAAGUAACCUGCCUUUAAGACGAGGAUAACAACCGGAAGGUUACUAAGACUGGAUAGGAAACAAAAAGGCAUCUUUUUGUUUUUAAAAGACCUUCUUACGAAGGUAUGCUUAAAGAGGGGCUUGCGCCACAUUAGUUAGUUGGUAGAGUAAAAGCCUACCAAGACGAUGAUGUGUAGCUGGACUGAGAGGUUGAACAGCCACAUUGGGACUGAGACACGGCCCAAACUCCUACGGGAGGCAGCAGUAGGGAAUUUUCGGCAAUGGAGGAAACUCUGACCGAGCAACGCCGCGUGAACGAUGAAGUAUUUCGGUAUGUAAAGUUCUUUUAUUGAAGAAGAAAAAGUAGUGGAAAAACUAUAUUGACGUUAUUCAAUGAAUAAGCCCCGGCUAACUAUGUGCCAGCAGCCGCGGUAAGACAUAGGGGGCGAGCGUUAUCCGGAAUUAUUGGGCGUAAAGGGUGCGUAGGCUGUUAGAUAAGUCUAUAAUUUAAUUUCAGUGCUUAACGCUGUCUUGUUAUAGAAACUGUCUUGACUAGAGUGAGAUAGAGGCAAGCGGAAUUCCAUGUGUAGCGGUAAAAUGUGUAAAUAUAUGGAGGAACACCAGAAGCGUAGGCGGCUUGCUGGGUCUUUACUGACGCUGAGGCACGAAAGCGUGGGUAGCAAACAGGAUUAGAUACCCUGGUAGUCCACGCCGUAAACGAUGAGUACUAAGUGUCGGGGUAAAACUCGGUACUGAAGUUAACACAUUAAGUACUCCGCCUGAGUAGUACGUACGCAAGUAUGAAACUUAAAGGAAUUGACGGGACUCCGCACAAGCGGUGGAUCAUGUUGUUUAAUUCGAAGAUACACGAAAAAUCUUACCAGGUCUUGACAUACUCUGCAAAGCUAUAGAAAUAUAGUGGAGGUUAUCAGGGAUACAGGUGGUGCAUGGUUGUCGUCAGUUCGUGUCGUGAGAUGUUAGGUUAAGUCCUAAAACGAACGCAACCCUUGUCGUUAAUUGCCAGCACAUAAUGGUGGGGACUUUAACGAGACUGCCAAUUAAACAUUGGAGGAAGGUGAGGAUUACGUCAAAUCAUCAUGCCCCUUAUGAUCUGGGCUACAAACGUGAUACAAUGGCUGUGACAAAGAGUAGCUGAAACGCGAGUUUUUAGCCAAUCUCAAAAAAGCAGUCUCAGUUCGGAUUGAAGUCUGUAACUCGACUUCAUGAAGUUGGAAUCGCUAGUAAUCGCGAAUCAGCAUGUCGCGGUGAAUACGUUCUCGGGGUUUGUACACACCGCCCGUCAAACCACGAAAGUUAGCAAUGCCCGAAAGCAGUAGCUUAA